Molecule: RNA transcript, 3335 nt
Organism: Triplophysa rosa
Lineage: Eukaryota; Metazoa; Chordata; Actinopteri; Cypriniformes; Nemacheilidae
Gene name: complement component C1q receptor
Exons: 2
Source: RefSeq, a predicted model, not a curated record
ACUAGGGCGCCUACUGUAUACAUCUGUGAAACUAGUCAAAACAAUAAGCAGCAAAGGCAAUUGUUUCUUUUUUCACGGACAGGAACUCGGCCUGGGAAGAGACUAAACGAGGCCUGUUUCUUAAAUAAUUUCCGUUGUAGUUAUGCACUCAACAGGAUGCGUUAGUUUGAGUAAGUCACCAAGUACGCAGUCUUUAUUUGGCACAUGAGAGGCCUAUACGAAGGAGAUUUUCUAUUCUCAGAAAUGAAUUGAAUAUUGGCGAAUAGUUUGUAUUGAUGAAAGUGACGUGAUGAUGCGUGUACUGAUUCUGGUGUUGUCCAUUCUUGAAGCCGGCGGAACCAAUCGAGUAACCACAACAUGCACAUCCAACGCUUGCUUUACAUUACAUUUGCAGGAGGACAUUUUUAAAAGGGCACAUGAGAACUGUAUCAACAAUGGAGGCAAUUUGGUCACGAUGAGACAUCACGAUGAAUUAGAGAACGUCAGAUCAGCUCUUUUAGCAGCAGAUCAAUCCGUCCUAACAUCUAAACUUUGGAUAGGACUCGUGCUGCCUAAAGGACGCUGUACUGAUUUCAACGAGGAGUUGCAUGGCUUCAAAUGGACGUCUGAGCCAACGGAUUCCAGAUAUUCCAAUUGGAAAAAGAAGCCUUCACGGACGUGCACAGAGAAAAGGUGCGUGUCGGUUUCGUUAUCGGAUGAUCUCAAAUGGUCAGAUGGCUCGUGCAGAGACCGCGCCUUUUAUAUGUGCAAAUUUAUUUUCCGAGGCACGUGCAAACCCAUAACGCUGGAAGAACCUGUUGAUGUUAGUUAUAAUCUUCCAUUUUUAUCCAAACCACUAACUCAACAAGAUGGGUUGGCAAUGUUACCUCAUGGAACAAUGGCUGAAAUACGGUGCAGUGGGUCGGAGGACACUGAAGUAAUUCUCUCAUUGUGUGAUAACAAGCUGGGUACUUUCGGUUGGACAAAUUCAGAGCGUUUUUGCGCACGGGAUAAAAAAAGUUGCGAGCACAAAAACGGAGGUUGCGAUCACAUUUGUUCAGAAACAGCUGGAGAGAUUCGUUGUGAAUGUCGCAAGGGUUAUUACUUGAGAGAUGACACAUUUAGUUGUGCUCACAGAAACAACUGCGAAAAUUCACCGUGUGAGUCAAAAUGCGAAUCGACAGCCGCCGGUUUUUCAUGUGCAUGUCCGGAUGGAUUUCAGCUUGCGCGGGACAACGUCAGCUGCGUCGAUAUCGAUGAAUGCCGUCAAAGCAUCUGUGGGGAACACAGGUGUCACAACAAACCGGGAGGCUACUUUUGCGAGUGUAAACCCGGUUUCAGUCUUGUCGCCGGAAAAUGUGAAGAUGUGGACGAAUGCACCGAAUUCAGAUGUGACCAGGGCUGUCUCAAUUCACAGGGUUCAUUCUCUUGUUACUGCUACGCGGGAUACAGCUCAUCACGUGAAGCCAAUGGGACAUGUAUAGAUAUCGAUGAAUGUCUAAAUAGGCCGUGUGAACACACCUGCCUGAAUACUUUAGGUAGCUACAGGUGCUCCUGCACGCAAAAAUUUACUUUAGCUGAAAAUGGCAUCAGCUGCGUUCCGAAUCCCACAGAGAAACCACAAAACACCCCAACGUCCCAAGAAAAUAAAGACACAUUAAUCACACACUUGAGUCAGUCCCCUGACGGGUAUGGAUCAACAGUCAGUCCCCUGUCACCUAACCAAGAUACGAAAACAGACUCUAUCAAACGCGCAGAAAGUUUCCUCGGCAGUUCUUGGAUUUUGCUGUGUGUGGUAGGUUCAGUUAUUCCAUUGCUUAUACUUAUUGUGAUCACGUCGGUCAUUGUCAUCUACCGAUGGAAACGUUCAAGAAAGACUACCAAGAAAAAUGUCACUGCUGAUAACUAUUGCUGGGUUUCAUCUGGACUGGACAAUCUAGAAAAAAACCAACGCUAAUGUUUUAAGUAUGUGGAAAUGAAAUGUGAAUGACUUUAAUUUAGCUUACAUGCAAAUGUUACAUAUUUUGUCAGCACGAGAGACAUCAGGAAGAUGGACUGUCUCACUAUAAUUCAAACACCUGGAAACCUUUUAAAAUUAUUUUUAUGUGAAGACUAUCCUCCAAACUAAAUUUCAGAUAUCAUGUUUUAUUUUUGAAAAGUAUAAAAAACUCACUGGAAAUUAUAUGUAGUAAAUCAAACGUUGGGCGUAGGCCUAUUAUGUAUUUUAAAUGUUGUAAUAUUAUGCCAUUUUUUAAUUUAAAAAAAUGCGUUGACCAAAACAGUGAUUUCAUAUUUUACAUGUUUGCUAAUGUUGUGUUUCAAACUUUAGACUUCAAACUUUUUGAAUUAUUUAGGUGAUGGUUCAGCACAAGUGCAGUGUGUGUAUUUUUUAAAUAGAAAUUUGGCAAAUGUUUUUAGUUGUUGAAAAAGCAAUUUGACAUCUUUGGGAUUAUUAAUUCAUCCAUCCUCACAAAAUAUCAUAUCCUUUGGCUUUAACCGGGUUGACGGUAACUGAUCAAAAUGCAUAACAUGUUUUUAUGUCAAAUAUAAUGCGAUUCAGUGUCCUGUUGAAAUGACUGUUGCAAUGUUUUAUAAUUUGAUAGAUGUCGUUAAUAAAUUAUUGAUAUUUUAGUAUUGAAUGGAAAAAAGCAAAGAAUAUAUCCAUAAAUUGGUGAUCUAUAUGCCUAUUUUUACUUUUGUAUUGUGUAAAAAGUACACGUGUUUUAAAGGUGCCAUGAAUUAAAAUCACAAUUUUAACCCGAGCUUUUAUUAUAUAAGAGGGAAUCGUAUUCACGCGAACAUCAUGUAAGUGUCAGAACUGAAAACGCCCUUGUUACUGAGAUUGCAUCUGUUAUUGACACCAGGCCCAACGAACGGCAGGUUCUGGAAUGCACCUAUCUAUGACGACAUUGAUAGGUUGAACCCCACCUCCAAAGAAAAAUAUCAAAGACUACUUCUCCAGCCCCGCCCACUGGUACGCGCAUGACAGAACCAGAGGCGCGGAACCAGAUAGAGCUAGCAAGCAAUAAACAAACAUGUCGUUAAAGAUAGCUAAAUAUUGUGCCAUCCCAGGUUGUGGAAGAAUACAGUCGCUGCAUAACCUUCCUUCGGAUUCUGAUAUUAGGAAUGCGGGGUUAAAGUUUAUUUUUAAAGACGUUCCAGGUCAUGUGGGAAAAACAUGGAGCGUUUGUUCGUUUCAUUUCUCCAAGGAUUCCUUCGUGAACAAGGCACUGGAUUUGUGGAGAGACUAAAAUUAAAAAGCAGUGCUGUGCCGUCCAUAUUGGAUCCGAUAGGAAUGGCGCAGCAAUCUUAUCUCCACCCCAUUGGAAAGGACACACCAAGCAUCCUCGUUUAUG